This 1758-nucleotide long non-coding RNA is filed under the name Homo sapiens (human). RNAcentral describes it as "PREDICTED lncRNA (TCONS_00024700)". The record is from RNAcentral. Lineage: Eukaryota; Metazoa; Chordata; Mammalia; Primates; Hominidae.
UGGAGAAGAUCAGUUCUGGUUAGCAGCUUUAUUGCCACAGAAAGGACACUGGCAGAUACUUCUCAUAGCUCUAGUCAUGCUGAAUUCCCAGAAAGGGGUGUCAGAAUGAAUUGCUCUAAGCUCUUCUCCCUGGUAGAAGAACCUGUGACUUCUCUUGGAGAUCUCUUCAAUUUUCGGAAGCUGAUGCUUACAACAAUGGAGAUUAGCAAUACCUGGACAGAGUUGAGCUUCAAAGGAUACUGAGAAAUGGCUAAAGCAGAUGAUAAAGAAAAAAUGAGGAAAUGCUGUGAAGAACUAAUAGAACGUUUCAGAAGCAGAACAAGUCGAGAGCAGUGAUGACCCUUUUCUUCCUGCUAGUACCUCCUGUCUGUCUGGCUGAACUCACCAUCAGAUGAUGUCUUGAACCUCACCUAGAUGGGCUGGUGGUGUGUGGCCAGGUUAAGAGCACCAACAGGAGUAAGAAAGUGACCUGCCUGGUUUUACCGUGUGCACUAGGGGAGGGGUUGAAAGCUUUCGGUUGAUACAUCACCUCUGGGAGUUGAAGAAGAAUGCAAUUAAGAGAGCUAAAGAAGUCAGUAGGUAUCUCUCCUGAACAAUUCUGGUUUUCUUCUAAUAGCUUUUACAAUUUUUACCUCUGUUAUGAAAUGCAAACUUUUAACCAAUAUUAGUAAUAGUAAUCUCAAAUCUCAUCAUCAUCAAAAUCUUAUUUAUGAAAUGUAGGAGUUAGUUCAUAUACAGCCUUAGCCUUUUCCACAUUAUAAAAUAUAUUCCAUAUAUAUGUGUGAUCUUCAUUUAAUAUUCAAGUAAAUGUUGUAAGAUAUUGUUAUUUUUAUUCUAACAUUUCACAGGUAUAGAAUCUGAAACUCAGAGGUCAACUGAUGUGUCAAAGAUACCUCCACAAAUCAGUACCUUGAUUAAAACUAAAAUUGGAGUCAUCUUCAUAUCUUCAUCUUUCUCCCUCUUCAUUAGGACCGAUUGUAGUCUGUUUCCCUCUCACUCACUUGCAAUCUUUAUUGCUUUAGUGUUGCAUUUGAUUUUUAUCUUUGUUUUUGUUUUAAAUACUGUCAUUAAAGUCAUAGAAAAAUCUAAAGUAAAACUGGUUGAAUAAAAAUUUUAAAAUCGACUCUAAUGUAAUAAACCAGACAAAAAUGAUACUUUACAUGUUAUAUCUUCCCUUUAAACUACAAAUAUUCAUUGAGUGUAUACCCUGUAUUAGGCUGUUGGAAUAAAACAGGGAAGAAGACAGAAGAAACUGCACCGCCAUCUUAGAUCUUGCAGCCAAAUUCCUCUGAACUUUUCUCUAAAGACGUGCUCUGGAAAAAUGUUGAUCAUUUUCCUACAUCAUGGAGGUCUUUUCAUGACCACCUUUGUCUAGACAAUGUCCUGUUUUUAGGUGCACGUUUGAGGGCUGGAGUCUCUGACCCACAGUGCUGCAGCCUGCACGUGGUUUGUCCUGACUUCUUUGCUACUUCACUUUUCGUAAGGCUCUGAGAGUGCAGGCCCUUGUGGGUGGACACUGCAGGGUGAGAGGAAGAAGUAAACUACUUUUUUCCGUUUCUGAUGGGGGUGUGGGUCAGCAGCUAUAAGCAACAGGGACCAUGGGGGGCCUCAGACUUCAGCACCUGAGAGGCAGUUUCAGUCGUAUUGGGGAGAUGCAGGCAUCUGGGUUGCUGCACAUCACCAGGGCAGGGUUCUCUCAGCAGCCCUGGAGUGCAGAGUUCCCAUCAGCUCAGCAGUGAGGGGCACAUGGGGCUCCAG